RNAcentral lists this ribosomal RNA (492 nucleotides) under uncultured bacterium. Its description in RNAcentral is "partial 16S ribosomal RNA". It matches the Rfam family "Bacterial small subunit ribosomal RNA", at positions 29 to 507 of the family's 1533-position model. The record is from RNAcentral.
AGUGAACGCUGGCGGUAGGCCUAACACAUGCAAGUCGAACGGCAGCACAGUAAGAGCUUGCUCUUACGGGUGGCGAGUGGCGGACGGGUGAGGAAUACAUCGGACUCUACUUUUUCGUGGGGGAUAACGUAGGGAAACUUACUCUCAUACCGCAUACGACCUACGGUUGAAAGCAGGGGAUCUUCGGACCUUGCGCGAUUGAAUGAGCCGAUGUCGGAUUAGCUAGUUGGCGGGGUAAAGGCCCACCAAGGCGACGAUCCGUAGCUGGUCUGAGAGGAUGAUCAGCCACACUGGAACUGAGACACGGUCCAGACUCCUACGGGAGGCAGCAGUGGGGAAUAUUGGACAAUGGGCGCAAGCCUGAUCCAGCCAUACCGCGUGGGUGAAGAAGGCCUUCGGGUUGUAAAGCCCUUUUGUUGGGAAAGAAAAGCAGCAGGUUAAUACCCCGCUGUUCUGACGGUACCCAAAGAAUAAGCACCGGCUAACUUCGUG